RNAcentral lists this ribosomal RNA (764 nucleotides) under uncultured bacterium. RNAcentral's name for it is "bacterial SSU rRNA". It matches the Rfam family "Bacterial small subunit ribosomal RNA", at positions 56 to 833 of the family's 1533-position model. The record is from RNAcentral.
UGCGAGUCGAGCGGUAAGGCUCCUUCGGGAGUACACGAGCGGCGAGCGGGUGAGUAGCACAGUGAGCAAUCUGCCCUUCUCAGUCGGAAUAACCAUUGGAAACGAUGGCUGAUGCCGAAUACGACCUCCCUUCGCAUGUUGGGAGGUGGAAAGCUCCGGCGGAGAAGGAUGAGCUCGCGGCCUAUCAGCUUGUUGGCGGGGUAACGGCCCACCAAGGCAACGACGGGUAGCCGGCCUGAGAGGGUGACCGGCCACACUGGGACUGAGACACGGCCCAGACUCCUACGGGAGGCAGCAGUGGGGAAUAUUGGACAAUGGGCGAAAGCCUGAUCCAGCAACGCCGCGUGAGGGAUGACGGCCUUCGGGUUGUAAACCUCUUUCAGCAGGGACGAAGCGAAAGUGACGGUACCUGCAGAAGAAGGACCGGCCAACUACGUGCCAGCAGCCGCGGUAAUACGUAGGGUCCGAGCGUUGUCCGGAAUUAUUGGGCGUAAAGGGCUCGUAGGCGGUCUGUCGCGUCGGGAGUGAAAACUCAGGGCUUAACCCUGAGCGUGCUUCCGAUACGGGCAGACUAGAGGGAUGCAGGGGAGAACGGAAUUCCUGGUGUAGCGGUGGAAUGCGCAGAUAUCAGGAGGAACACCGGUGGCGAAGGCGGUUCUCUGGGCAUUACCUGACGCUGAGGAGCGAAAGCAUGGGGAGCGAACAGGAUUAGAUACCCUGGUAGUCCAUGCCGUAAACGUUGGGCGCUAGGUGUGGGGACCUUC